CACACUCACACCCUUUAACUUGUCCUCUCUGUAACACACCUGCCCCUCUUCCCUCCUCAGGUAGUGCUGCCCCCUAUCCAGGAUGGACCCCCACAGCAAGUCGGCCGAGACCCAGCAGAGAGCACCCAGACUGGGCCACAGCACAUAGGUCCUGCCCCUGGAGCACCUCUACCUCGCAGGAAGACAUGCCAGGCAGUGUGUAAGGGUUAUGCUGAGCGGUACCAGGAGCAAAGGGAGGCCAGAGCCCAGAAGGCCCAGAAGUCAAACGUUAGGGCUGAUCCCACUAACCCCACCCACACCACCCUGCCCACCAUCACACACCCUGCCCUACAUCACACACCCUGAGAGGAGAGGUUCCCUCCUAUGCUGCUGUCACCAAUCAAGCCCAUUCACAUGAUUUAGGAGAUGAGGAAAUAGGAGGCAAAGAAGGAAGGACGAUAUUGAAGAGAAUUGGAACGUAGCCAGAGCUGAACUGGUUCUGUGCUGCCACUUUGAUACUUUGACCAGGGACCUAAAAUAAACAAGUCCAAUCUCUCUACUUGAGGUAAUUUCUUAUAGUGUGUCUGAAAUAACACCCUAUUCCCUACAUAGUGCAUUACUUUUGAGCAGAGCCCACUGGGCCCUGGUCAAAAGUAGUUCACUAUAUAGAGAAUAGGCUCCUGAGUGGGGCAGCGGUCUAAGGCCCUGCA
This 689-nucleotide long non-coding RNA is filed under the name Salmo trutta (river trout). Its description in RNAcentral is "lncRNA (ENSSTUG00000003173.1)". Lineage: Eukaryota; Metazoa; Chordata; Actinopteri; Salmoniformes; Salmonidae. The record is from RNAcentral.